RNAcentral lists this ribosomal RNA (420 nucleotides) under Belonoperca chabanaudi. RNAcentral describes it as "partial 12S ribosomal RNA". It matches the Rfam family "Bacterial small subunit ribosomal RNA", at positions 777 to 1399 of the family's 1533-position model. The record is from RNAcentral. Lineage: Eukaryota; Metazoa; Chordata; Actinopteri; Perciformes; Serranidae.
AUUAGAUACCCCACUAUGUUUCGCCCUAAACAUUGAUAGUACUACACCCCGCUAUCCGCCCGGGGACUACGAGCAAUAGCUUAAAACCCAAAGGACUUGGCGGUGCUUUAGAUCCGCCUAGAGGAGCCUGUUCUAGAACCGAUAAUCCCCGUUCAACCUCACCUUUUCUUGUUAAAUCAGCCUAUAUACCGCCGUCGUCAGCCUACCCUGUGAAGGCCCAGCAGUGAGCUUAAUUGGCACAGCCCAAAACGUCAGGUCGAGGUGUAGCUAACGAAAAGGGAAGAAAUGGGCUACAUUCACUACUUAGCAGUGAAUACGAAGAGUGUGCUGAAAUGCACACUUAAAGGAGGAUUUAGCAGUAAGUAGAAACUAGAGUGUUCUACUGAAACCGGCUCUGAAGCGCGCACACACCGCCCGUCA